GACGAACGCUGGCGGCGUGCUUAACACAUGCAAGUCGAACGGAGCGAAUGAAAGCUUGCUUUUAUGAGCUUAGUGGCAAACGGGUGAGUAACACGUAGACAACCUGCCGACAGGAUGGGGACAACAUUCCGAAAGGAAUGCUAAUACCGAAUGAAGUGUAGGGGAGGCAUCUCCUCUACAUGAAAGAUGGCCUCUAUUUAUAAGCUAUCACCUGUCGAUGGGUCUGCGUCUGAUUAGCUAGUUGGUGAGGUAACGGCUCACCAAGGCGACGAUCAGUAGCCGGUCUGAGAGGAUGAACGGCCACAUUGGGACUGAGACACGGCCCAGACUCCUACGGGAGGCAGCAGUGGGGAAUCUUCCGCAGUGGGCGCAAGCCUGACGGAGCAACGCCGCGUGGGUGAAGAAGGUCUUCGGAUCGUAAAGCUCUGUUGACGGGGACGAACGUGCGAGAGGUGAAUAAACUCUUGCAAUGACG
Molecule: ribosomal RNA, 475 nt
Filed under: Centipeda dianae
Lineage: Bacteria; Bacillati; Bacillota; Negativicutes; Selenomonadales; Selenomonadaceae
Description: bacterial SSU rRNA
Rfam family: Bacterial small subunit ribosomal RNA
Source: RNAcentral